UAGGGGGAGUAUGUGCUCGCUAUAUCGCUUUUUCUAACUCUCUCCACUGUGCACCCUAUUGUAGGCUAUGAUAAGGUUCAGAAAGCUUUCAUGCAUUCAUUCAUUAUGUUUGUUUGUUUGCUUUCAACUUUGUAGCCUAUGUCUUACACAAACUCUUUGAUAGUCUUUAUGAAUGUGUGUAUCCGAAUUGGUCUUUGUGAUCAAUACAAGUCAUAUAUAUAUAUACAACUUUCAGCAACGGAUCUCUUGGCUCUCGCAUCGAUGAAGAACGCAGCGAAAUGCGAUAAGUAAUGUGAAUUGCAGAAUUCAGUGAAUCAUCGAAUCUUUGAACGCACCUUGCACUCCUUGGGUAUUCCGAGGAGUAUGCCUGUUUGAGUGUCAUUAUAUUCUCAAAAACCUAGGUGUUCUCUGAAUGACUAGGCUUUUUGGAUGUGAGGGAUUGCUGGCUUUCUAUCGAGUCCGGCUCCCUUCAAAUGUAUUAGUGGUUGCUUCAUUCACUAGAGUGUGAUAGUAUAUCUACGCUUGUUACAGUGAACUUGAAUAUAAAUCAUCUGCUUUCCAACUGUCUUGAAACAUAACAGGACAUAUUUUGACUAUUUGACCUCAAAUCAGGUAGGACUACCCGCUGAACUUAAGCAUAUCAAUAAGCGGAGGAAAAGAAACUAACAAGGAUUCCCCUAGUA
Molecule: ribosomal RNA, 683 nt
Filed under: uncultured fungus
Lineage: Eukaryota; Fungi
Description: eukaryotic LSU rRNA
Rfam family: 5.8S ribosomal RNA (bases 227-381)
Source: RNAcentral